GACCGCGUAGCUCAGUCGGCAGAGCAUUGGACUAGUAUCCCAAAGGUCGCGGGUUCGAUUCCCACCCUGGCCA
RNAcentral lists this transfer RNA (73 nucleotides) under Paramuricea clavata. It matches the Rfam family "tRNA". From Rfam's summary of the family: Transfer RNA (tRNA) molecules are approximately 80 nucleotides in length. Lineage: Eukaryota; Metazoa; Cnidaria; Anthozoa; Malacalcyonacea; Plexauridae. The record is from Rfam by way of RNAcentral.